ACCCAUAUAGCUUAACCACAGAGCACCGAUCUUGUAAACCGAAGGCGUAAACUUACCUUACUAAGGGCA
This 69-nucleotide transfer RNA is filed under the name Smaug warreni. RNAcentral's name for it is "Thr-tRNA copy2". The record is from RNAcentral. Lineage: Eukaryota; Metazoa; Chordata; Lepidosauria; Squamata; Cordylidae.